This 603-nucleotide long non-coding RNA is filed under the name Capsella rubella. RNAcentral describes it as "long non-coding RNA (CRUB_LNC001156)". The record is from RNAcentral. Lineage: Eukaryota; Viridiplantae; Streptophyta; Magnoliopsida; Brassicales; Brassicaceae.
CGGCAAUAUAAGCUCGAUGUUCGUCAUAAGAUUGGAUCGGUUUUAUAAAUUAUAAAAGCUAACUAAUCCCAAUUGAAAGAUAAAUAUAUCCACUUGUUGAUUGUUUUUCUCAAUCGUUAAUAUUAUUUGGAUUGUUUUUUUAUAAAACACGAAAUAUUCAAAAAAAAAAAAAAACACGAAAUAAUCUUGUUUAGUUUGUUCUAAGUUUGUAUAUGUGAGUUUUAAUUUGAAAAUUAAUAUAACUGUGGAAGUGGAAUAUUAUUCUUCUGGGGUAUGUCACUUUCAAAAGUCUAGUUAGGAAGGAAAAAAAUUAUACAUACAAUAUCGUAAGUUUGGCAUACGUCUGCUUCAAUAUGCAAUGUACACAGAAAAAUAAUUAUUGAGUAGCUAGCUAGGACUAUCAUUAUCAUGUUUUCUAUACGUCGUCGAGUGAUAUAAAAGACAACAAAAAGAAUUUUACAUUUUUCUUUUAUGAAAAUGGUUAUUAAAAAAAAAAAAAAAAUCGCGGUUGAAAUAAUUACACUUAAUCAUUGCUUUGUCAUUAUCACUAGUGAGCAUGCUAACACCGUACGAGCACGUAAAUAAUUGAUUUCAGUACCAGUG